AGGAUUCCCCUAGUAACGGCGAGUGAAGCGGGAAGAGCUCAAAUUUGUAAUCUGGCGGUCUCCGGCCGUCCGAGUUGUAGUCUGGAGAAGCGUCUUCCGUGCCGGACCGUGUACAAGUCCCUUGGAACAGGGCGUCGUAGAGGGUGAGAAUCCCGUCUCUGACACGGACUACCGGGGCUCUGUGAUGCGCUCUCGAAGAGUCGAGUUGUUUGGGAAUGCAGCUCAAAACGGGUGGUAAAUUCCAUCUAAAGCUAAAUAUUGGCGAAAGACCGAUAGCGAACAAGUACCGUGAGGGAAAGAUGAAAAGCACUUUGGAAAGAGAGUUAAACAGUACGUGAAAUUGUUGAAAGGGAAACGCUUGAAGUCAGUCGCGUCUUCCGAGACUCAGCCGGGUUUGCACCCGGUGUACUUCUCGGUGUCGACGGGCCAGCAUCGAUUUCGACCGUCGGAGAAAGGCUCUGGGAAUGUGGCACCUUUGGGUGUGUUAUAGCCCUCUGUCGUAUGCGACGGUCGGGAUCGAGGACCGCAGCGUGCCCUUCACCGGGCCGGGGUUCGCCCACGUAACGCGCUUAGGAUGCUGGCGUAAUGGCUUUAAGCGACCCGUCUUGAAACACGGACCAC
Molecule: ribosomal RNA, 621 nt
Filed under: Hysterangium sp. OSC122860
Lineage: Eukaryota; Fungi; Basidiomycota; Agaricomycetes; Hysterangiales; Hysterangiaceae
Description: eukaryotic LSU rRNA
Rfam family: Eukaryotic large subunit ribosomal RNA
Source: RNAcentral